AACGCGAAGAACCUUACCAAGGCUUGACAUGUUAGGAAUCUUGUAGAAAUAUGAGAGUGCUAGCUUGCUAGAACCUAAACACAGGUGCUGCAUGGCCGUCGUCAGCUCGUGUCGUGAGAUGUUGGGUUAAGUCCCGCAACGAGCGCAACCCUUGUCCUUAGUUGCCAGCGGUUCGGCCGGGAACUCUAAGGAGACUGCCUGGGUAAGCGGGAGGAAGGUGGGGAUGAUGUCAAGUCAUCCCGGCCCUUAUGCUUUGGGCAACACACGUGCUACAAUGGGACGUACAAAGGGUCGCAAUCCCGCGAGGUGGAGCCAAUCUUAAAAACCUCUCUUCAGUUGGGAUUGUAGUCUGCAAAUUGGCUACCAGAAUCGGAAUCGCUAGUAAUCAUAGAUCACCUAUGCUACAGUGAAUACGUUCCCGGGUCUUGUACACACCG
RNAcentral lists this ribosomal RNA (437 nucleotides) under uncultured bacterium. RNAcentral describes it as "bacterial SSU rRNA". It matches the Rfam family "Bacterial small subunit ribosomal RNA", at positions 958 to 1392 of the family's 1533-position model. The record is from RNAcentral.